CUGGGUUUAGAACGUCGUGAGACAGUUCGGUCCCUAUCUGCCGUGGGCGUUGGAAGAUUGAGAGGGGUUGCUCCUAGUACGAGAGGACCGGAGUGAACGCACCACUGGUGUUCGGGUUGUCAUGCCAAUGGCAUUGCCCGGUAGCUAAGUGCGGAAAAGAUAAGCGCUGAAAGCAUCUAAGCGCGAAACUUGCCUCAAGAUGAGUCUUCCCUUGGACUUUGAGUCCACUGAAGGAACGUUUAAGACUAAGACGUUGAUAGGCUGGGUGUGUAAGUGCAGCGGUGCAUUGAGCUAACCAGUACUAAUGAUCCGUGAGGCUUAACCUUACAACACCAAAGGUGUUUUAG
Molecule: ribosomal RNA, 347 nt
Filed under: Acinetobacter baumannii
Lineage: Bacteria; Pseudomonadati; Pseudomonadota; Gammaproteobacteria; Moraxellales; Moraxellaceae
Description: partial 23S ribosomal RNA
Rfam family: Bacterial large subunit ribosomal RNA
Source: RNAcentral